GGCCCCGUAGCACAACUGGAUAGUGCAGCGGUCUUCUAAACCGCAGGUUCCGCGUUCGAGUCGCGGCGGGGUCGCCA
This 77-nucleotide transfer RNA is filed under the name Cereibacter sphaeroides. RNAcentral describes it as "Rhodobacter sphaeroides tRNA-Arg". It matches the Rfam family "tRNA". Rfam says of the family: Transfer RNA (tRNA) molecules are approximately 80 nucleotides in length. Their secondary structure includes four short double-helical elements and three loops (D, anti-codon, and T loops). Further hydrogen bonds mediate the characteristic L-shaped molecular structure. tRNAs have two regions of fundamental functional importance: the anti-codon, which is responsible for specific mRNA codon recognition, and the 3' end, to which the tRNAs corresponding amino acid is attached (by aminoacyl-tRNA synthetases). tRNAs cope with the degeneracy of the genetic code in two manners: having more than one tRNA (with a specific anti-codon) for a particular amino acid; and 'wobble' base-pairing, i.e. permitting non-standard base-pairing at the 3rd anti-codon position. RNAcentral also lists the same sequence under 3 other names. Lineage: Bacteria; Pseudomonadati; Pseudomonadota; Alphaproteobacteria; Rhodobacterales; Paracoccaceae. The record is from RNAcentral.